This 1161-nucleotide ribosomal RNA is filed under the name unidentified. RNAcentral describes it as "bacterial SSU rRNA". It matches the Rfam family "Bacterial small subunit ribosomal RNA", at positions 78 to 1225 of the family's 1533-position model. The record is from RNAcentral.
GCUUGCACCUUUCUCGUGAGUGGCGAACGGGUGAGUAACACGUGGACAACCUGCCUCAAGGCUGGGGAUAACAUUUGGAAACAGAUGCUAAUACCGAAUAAAACUUAGUGUCGCAUGACAAAAAGUUAAAAGGCGCUUCGGCGUCACCUAGAGAUGGAUCCGCGGUGCAUUAGUUAGUUGGUGGGGUAAAGGCCUACCAAGACAAUGAUGCAUAGCCGAGUUGAGAGACUGAUCGGCCACAUUGGGACUGAGACACGGCCCAAACUCCUACGGGAGGCUGCAGUAGGGAAUCUUCCACAAUGGGCGAAAGCCUGAUGGAGCAACGCCGCGUGUGUGAUGAAGGCUUUCGGGUCGUAAAGCACUGUUGUAUGGGAAGAACAGCUAGAAUAGGAAAUGAUUUUAGUUUGACGGUACCAUACCAGAAAGGGACGGCUAAAUACGUGCCAGCAGCCGCGGUAAUACGUAUGUCCCGAGCGUUAUCCGGAUUUAUUGGGCGUAAAGCGAGCGCAGACGGUUUAUUAAGUCUGAUGUGAAAGCCCGGAGCUCAACUCCGGAAUGGCAUUGGAAACUGGUUAACUUGAGUGCAGUAGAGGUAAGUGGAACUCCAUGUGUAGCGGUGGAAUGCGUAGAUAUAUGGAAGAACACCAGUGGCGAAGGCGGCUUACUGGACUGCAACUGACGUUGAGGCUCGAAAGUGUGGGUAGCAAACAGGAUUAGAUACCCUGGUAGUCCACACCGUAAACGAUGAACACUAGGUGUUAGGAGGUUUCCGCCUCUUAGUGCCGAAGCUAACGCAUUAAGUGUUCCGCCUGGGGAGUACGACCGCAAGGUUGAAACUCAAAGGAAUUGACGGGGACCCGCACAAGCGGUGGAGCAUGUGGUUUAAUUCGAAGCAACGCGAAGAACCUUACCAGGUCUUGACAUCCUUUGAAGCUUUUAGAGAUAGAAGUGUUCUCUUCGGAGACAAAGUGACAGGUGGUGCAUGGUCGUCGUCAGCUCGUGUCGUGAGAUGUUGGGUUAAGUCCCGCAACGAGCGCAACCCUUAUUGUUAGUUGCCAGCAUUCAGAUGGGCACUCUAGCGAGACUGCCGGUGACAAACCGGAGGAAGGCGGGGACGACGUCAGAUCAUCAUGCCCCUUAUGACCUGGGCUACACACGUGC